CCUACGGGUGGCAGCAGUGAGGAAUAUUGGUCAAUGGCCGGAAGGCUGAACCAGCCAAGUCGCGUGAGGGACGACUGUACUAUGUGUUGUAAACCUCUUUUAUCAGGGAAGAAUAACUGCUACGUGUAGCAUGAUGCCUGUACCUUAUGAAUAAGGAUCGGCUAACUCCGUGCCAGCAGCCGCGGUAAUACGGAGGAUGCGAGCGUUAUCCGGAUUUAUUGGGCGUAAAGCGCUCGGAGGCGGUAUGUCAAGUCAAGGGUGAAAUCCCCGCGCUCAACGUGGGAACUGCCUUUGAAACUGGCAAUCUGGAGUGUGUGAGAGGAUAGUGGAAUUCGAGGUGUAGGAGUGAAAUGCGUAGAUAUCGGGAGGAACAUCGGUGGCGAAGGCGACUAUCUGGCACAUAACUGACGCUGAGGAGCGAAAGCGUGGGUAGCAAACAGGAUUAGAUACCCUAGUAGUC
Molecule: ribosomal RNA, 460 nt
Filed under: uncultured bacterium
Lineage: Bacteria
Description: partial 16S ribosomal RNA
Rfam family: Bacterial small subunit ribosomal RNA
Source: RNAcentral